GACGAACGCUGGCGGCGUGCUUAACACAUGCAAGUCGAACGGAAAGGCCCUGCUUUUGUGGCGUGCGCGAGUGGCGAACGGGUGAGAAACACGUGAGUAACCUGCCCUUGACUUUGGGAGAACUUCAGUAAACUGGGGCUAAUACCGGAUAGGAGCGCCUGCGGCAGGGGGGGGGUUGGCGAGUGUGGGCCGUGGUGGAUGGACUCGCGGCUUCUCAGCUUGUGGGUGGGGGAGUGGCCUACCAGGGCAUUGACGGGUAGCCGGCCUGAGAGGGUGACCGGCCACAUUGCUGCGGAGAUAAGGCGCAGACUCCUCCGGGGGGCAGUAGCGGGGAAGAUUGCACAAUGGUGGGAAGAAGGAUGAAGCAACGCCGCGUGCGGGAUGACGGCCGUCGGGUUGUAAAGCGCUUCCGCCUGUGAAGAAGAGUGAGUGACGGUAAUGGGUGAAGAAGCACCGGCUAACUACGUG
RNAcentral lists this ribosomal RNA (468 nucleotides) under uncultured bacterium. RNAcentral's name for it is "partial 16S ribosomal RNA". It matches the Rfam family "Bacterial small subunit ribosomal RNA", at positions 28 to 507 of the family's 1533-position model. The record is from RNAcentral.